Molecule: long non-coding RNA, 214 nt
Organism: Thalassophryne amazonica
Lineage: Eukaryota; Metazoa; Chordata; Actinopteri; Batrachoidiformes; Batrachoididae
Exons: 2
Source: RefSeq, a predicted model, not a curated record
UCAGAUUGCUGUCCCAGACUUUUGAUGCCAUGUUGCUCAGCUUUCAGUUUCCUGACCGUUGCUACUCAACAGUAUAAGCACAAUGACUCUUCACUUCCUUCUUCCUGGCACAUUGCUUUUCACCAAUAACCCCCAACACACCCGCUGCGCCUAAAUCCCCCUCAGGCAUCAGUCAGUGAGCCAAUCCAUCAUGGGAAGCCUGUUUUGAUGGAAA